GGAAGAGUGGCAGAGUGGUCGAUUGCACCGGUCUUGAAAACCGGCGUCCCGCAAGGGACCGUGAGUUCGAAUCUCACCUCUUCCG
This 85-nucleotide transfer RNA is filed under the name Betaproteobacteria bacterium MOLA814. It matches the Rfam family "tRNA". From Rfam's summary of the family: Transfer RNA (tRNA) molecules are approximately 80 nucleotides in length. Their secondary structure includes four short double-helical elements and three loops (D, anti-codon, and T loops). Lineage: Bacteria; Pseudomonadati; Pseudomonadota; Betaproteobacteria. The record is from Rfam by way of RNAcentral.